This 687-nucleotide long non-coding RNA is filed under the name Homo sapiens (human). Its description in RNAcentral is "HSALNT0323859". Lineage: Eukaryota; Metazoa; Chordata; Mammalia; Primates; Hominidae. The record is from RNAcentral.
CCGCUCGCGCGCCUCUGAGAGGCUGUCCGCGCGCGCGCGUGUGUGCGUGAGUGUGGAUUUGCCGGGACUGGAGCUGGAAAGUUCAAACUAAACGUGUUGCUCUCGCCGAGUGCCGAGGCCGCGGCGGAGGCUGCCCAACUUCCCCGGGCCAAGUGAGUGGCGUUGCCCAGCGCCUUUGGCGAGGCGGCGGCCGCUCGGCCCUGCGCCCGGCCGCGGCGGCGGCGGCUCCGCUCGCCCCGGGAGGGAGCCCGCGGCCAGGGCUGGACUCUCGCCCCGCCACCUCCACCGACUCUCUCCUCAGCCUCCGCGCCUGGCACCGCAGCAAGACUUGAAUGAAGUGAUCAUGUAAACUAGAGAAAGGAGAUUAAAAAUAACCUCUGGAUAUUCCUCUCAUGUGAUCUUUAUUCUGGAUGAAGCAUUAGGACAGCUAAUAGCCGUGUGUCACUGCAAUUUGCUGCCAGAAGUGUGUUUUCCUUUUUAAAAGAAAAUCAAACUACCUGUAGCUACUUGGGGAAUGAUGAAGAAAUAGAGAAGUCUUUGUGGGGUUUCAGGAGCCAUUUGAUUCAAGUAAGUCGGUGAGUAGCCUGCCCGACCGGAGGAAGCCAGACUGACCCAUAAUGACUCCAACCAUCCAACAAGUGUGGAUUGACCGCCUACUGUGUUCAGUGUGACAUGGAGGGGAGAUGA